This 484-nucleotide ribosomal RNA is filed under the name uncultured bacterium. RNAcentral describes it as "partial 16S ribosomal RNA". It matches the Rfam family "Bacterial small subunit ribosomal RNA", at positions 30 to 507 of the family's 1533-position model. The record is from RNAcentral.
AUUGAACGCUGGCGGCAGGCCUAACACAUGCAAGUCGAGCGGAUGAAGGGAGCUUGCUCCUGGAUUCAGCGGCGGACGGGUGAGUAAUGCCUAGGAAUCUGCCUGGUAGUGGGGGAUAACGUCCGGAAACGGGCGCUAAUACCGCAUACGUCCUGAGGGAGAAAGUGGGGGAUCUUCGGACCUCACGCUAUCAGAUGAGCCUAGGUCGGAUUAGCUAGUUGGUGGGGUAAAGGCCUACCAAGGCGACGAUCCGUAACUGGUUUGAGAGGAUGAUCAGUCACACUGGAACUGAGACACGGUCCAGACUCCUACGGGAGGCAGCAGUGGGGAAUAUUGGACAAUGGGCGAAAGCCUGAUCCAGCCAUGCCGCGUGUGUGAAGAAGGUCUUCGGAUUGUAAAGCACUUUAAGUUGGGAGGAAGGGCAGUAAGUUAAUACCUUGCUGUUCUGACGUUACCAACAGAAUAAGCACCGGCUAACUUCGUG